AUUGAACGCUGGCGGCAUGCCUUACACAUGCAAGUCGAACGGCAGCACGGGUGCUUGCACCUGGUGGCGAGUGGCGAACGGGUGAGUAAUAUAUCGGAACGUACCUUAUAGUGGGGGAUAACGCAGCGAAAGUUGCGCUAAUACCGCAUACGCCCUUAGGGGGAAAGCGGGGGAUCGUAAGACCUCGCGCUAUUAGAGCGGCCGAUAUCUGAUUAGCUAGUUGGUGAGGUAAAGGCUCACCAAGGCGACGAUCAGUAGCUGGUCUGAGAGGACGAUCAGCCACACUGGGACUGAGACACGGCCCAGACUCCUACGGGAGGCAGCAGUGGGGAAUUUUGGACAAUGGGGGCAACCCUGAUCCAGCAAUGCCGCGUGCAGGACGAAGGCCUUCGGGUUGUAAACUGCUUUUGUACAGAACGAAAAGCCUUGGGUUAAUACCCUGAGGUCAUGACGGUACUGUAAGAAUAAGCACCGGCUAACUACGUG
Molecule: ribosomal RNA, 486 nt
Filed under: uncultured bacterium
Lineage: Bacteria
Description: bacterial SSU rRNA
Rfam family: Bacterial small subunit ribosomal RNA
Source: RNAcentral